Molecule: RNA transcript, 2309 nt
Organism: Zingiber officinale
Lineage: Eukaryota; Viridiplantae; Streptophyta; Magnoliopsida; Zingiberales; Zingiberaceae
Gene name: U-box domain-containing protein 9-like
Exons: 3
Source: RefSeq, a predicted model, not a curated record
GAUUUAUAUUUAAAUGAAUUUAUAAAUACGAGUUUUUGGGCUUCGCUGGGUCUUUCGGUUUCACUGCCUCUCGCCGCAGGGAGUCGAUGGGGGCGGAAGGCACCGACGCACCGGCAGGAGGCGCGGUUCGAGAUCCGUGAUCCAGCGGUCGCGUCUGCGCACUCGGAUCGAGAGCGGGCGGCGGCGAUGGCGAACUCUGAGGCGGCGGAGGCGCUGACUGGGUUCGUGUCGGCGGCGAGGGCGGAGGAGUUGAAGAAAGAGCUGCGGCGGAAGGUGAGGGAGAUUUCGGAGUCGGAGGAUUGCGGCGUGGGGACUUAUGAGGAUGCGGCCAGGGCGCUCGCGGCACUCAGGGAACUAAGGUCCGGCGGGAGCGUGAGUCCGAAGGAGGCCCUAGCGAGCCAGAGGAAGGCGGAGGAAGAGUUCGAGUCGGCGGCCGUCCCCAAGCAUUUCUUGUGCCCGAUCUCCUCGGAGCUGAUGAGAGAUCCCGUCAUCCUGGCCUCCGGACAGACCUAUGACAGGCUUUUCAUCCAGGAAUGGUUCAGUUCUGGGAACAGGACAUGCCCACAAACUCAGCAAGUCCUCUCGGACAUCACCCUCACCCCUAAUCACCUUGUCCGCAGCAUGAUCUCCCAAUGGUGUAUGGAACAUGGCAUCACUCUCUCUCUACUAGAUCAUGAGCAAGAAGGAGGGUUGAUCACUAGGAAGGAGCGGAAUGCGCUGCGUGGGAUCCUCGAUAAGAUAUCGUUGUCCUCUAUUCCUGAACAAAAACAAGCAGUUAGGGAGCUCCGUCUGCUCACCAAGCGAAAUGGAUCGUUUCGAGCAUUGGUAGGGGAGAGCCCAAAUGCAAUACCACAGUUGUUGUCUGUUCUAUCUGUGCCGGGAUUGAAUUGCGACCUGGAGGUGCAGGAGGAUACUGUGACCACAAUACUUAACCUUUCAAUCCAUGAAAGCAAUAAGAAGAUCGUUGGUGACGACCCCCAAGCCAUUGUUUUGCUUAUUGAUGCAUUGAAGACUGGAAGUAUGGAGACCCGUAGUAAUUCAGCUGCGGCACUGUUUAGUUUAUCCGCCCUUGAGUCCAACAAGGCCAAGAUAGGGGAAAUGGGUGCGAUGAAACCGCUGGUUGAACUGCUAGAACAAGGCAGUCCCAGUGCCAAGAAGGAUGCUGGGUCUGCAAUCUUCAACCUCUGCAUGCUUCACGAGAACCGGGCCAGGGCACUGAUGGAAGGGGUGGUUCGUGUGCUCCUGAAGUCCAUAGCGGACCAGUCACUCGUCGACGAGUCACUGGCAAUCCUCGCAUUGUUAUCAAGAGACCAAGAGGCAGUCGAGGGGAUCACCGAGUCUGGCGGCGUGGCCUCCAUGCUGAGCAUAGUAAGGGACGGCGUUUGCCUCCGGAACAAACAGAACAACAAAGAGAACGCAGCGGUCGUUCUGUUUGCAAUUUGCAUGCAUGACCGGACGAAGCUUGGGGAGAUCGCAGAGGAGGAGAAGUCGACUGGGAGCAUCUCUCGUCUGGUUGAGAACGGCACCCCCAGGGCACGCAGGAAGGCUGCUGGAAUGCUGGAUAAAUGGAAGAGGACCAUGCGUAGCACGCAUUACUCAUGUUGAGAAAUCACCAGGAGCAAGAAAGAUGCACAUAUGUAAAUAAUACCCCUCUCCGGUCUUUUUGGUUGCUCUUCGGUACAAAAGAUGUGGGAAAAAAAGAAAGGAGAGCGGCGAUUGCGGUGGCGGUGGCGGCGGCGGUGAACUGCACUCACCGGCUACGCUUCAUUGGCAGCACCGCCGCGCACUGAUUGCGGACCUCCGAUUCACGCGUUUUGCACUUCCUUUCUGUUCUGUCAUAUCACGGUCCUACUCAACCAUUCAUUUCAUUCCAUGGCACCAUUCCUUGCCUGAUCAAUCAUGAUGCCAGCCAGCUUCGACAGCCCACUAACUUGGAUGACUUCGUGUAUUACUUUUUCAUGUUUCCUCCGGAGUAAAUUCUUGAUUGUCCCUUCUUUAGAAAGCCAUAGAAUCUGUCGUCCAAACUCGACCAUUUAAAGCUGCCAUGUACAUUGCUCAAACUCACCCUAGCCGAUAGCCAUAAUGCGGCCAAAAAGGGUAUGGCACAGAACAGGUGGUGGCUGUCUUGCAUGAUGCCCUUGGGUGCAGUAAGUCAGAGAGAUCUCUCUUUUCUUUUGUAGUUGCCGGUGAGUCACGCACCGCACGGCACGGGACGGGUGUAGUAGCACUUUUGGUGGUGAAAAGCUCUUUGUAAUUCUGAUAACACCUCUAAACCUACUCGUAGAAAUUAAGAAUUUCUGUUUGUUGUA